GACGAACGCUGGCGGCGUGCUUAACACAUGCAAGUCGAACGGAAAGGCCCUGCUUUUGUGGGGUGCUCGAGUGGCGAACGGGUGAGUAACUCGUGAGUAACCUGCCCCUGACUUUGGGAUAACUUCAGGAAACUGGGGCUAAUACCGGAUAGGAGCUCCUGCUGCAUGGUGGGGGUUGGAAAGUUUCGGCGGUUGGGGAUGGACUCGCGGCUUAUCAGCUUGUUGGUGGGGUAGUGGCUUACCAAGGCUUUGACGGGUAGCCGGCCUGAGAGGGUGACCGGCCACAUUGGGACUGAGAUACGGCCCAGACUCCUACGGGAGGCAGCAGUGGGGAAUAUUGCACAAUGGGCGGAAGCCUGAUGCAGCAACGCCGCGUGCGGGAUGACGGCCUUCGGGUUGUAAACCGCUUUCGCCUGUGACGAAGCGUGAGUGACGGUAAUGGGUAAAGAAGCACCGGCUAACUACGUG
Molecule: ribosomal RNA, 468 nt
Filed under: uncultured bacterium
Lineage: Bacteria
Description: partial 16S ribosomal RNA
Rfam family: Bacterial small subunit ribosomal RNA
Source: RNAcentral